Perca fluviatilis (European perch) is the source of this 2045-nucleotide long non-coding RNA. RefSeq lists it as uncharacterized. The record is from RefSeq and is a predicted model, not a curated record. The transcript is spliced from 3 exons. Lineage: Eukaryota; Metazoa; Chordata; Actinopteri; Perciformes; Percidae.
AGAAAUAAGAUGACGUAGGCUAACUGGGAAAACUGGGUAAGCUAAAGUAACUUCAGUAAACUCUUGGCUAGAGGGAGAUAAAUAUUGAAUGGGUUAUCAUUGUAAAAAAACACAAACCAUUAUGAAGAACAAUUAACACAAAGAAGUAUAUUUAAAUCUAGGUCAGUGUAUAUAGCUACCGUUAGCUCUAAAACUCCACCAAAUUGUGAGGAAAAAAUUAUAAUUUCUGACAAUGACUGAUAAAUGUGUAUCCAGGACAUCUCGGACUAUACAGACUCAAAAUCAAGCAUUUUAUAGUAUCAAUUUAGAGAUUUUUCAAAGUAAAAGUACCACAUUUGUAACUUGAAAUGACUUCCUUUCUGACACUUGAGAUGUUGUAAACACAUUGCCAAAUCAUAUAUCUGAUUUGACUGACUUAUAUAUUUUAGUUGAGUGAUUUUGAAUGAAAUGUAGCCAGAGAUGUCCUGAACUCAAAUGUAUCAUUCACUGUCAGAAAUUAUGGAGCGGUUUGUUUUUACAGCAACUCAAGUUUCAGAAAGGCAGGCAUUUCAAAGUACAUGCGGGAAUUCUAAUGUUAUCCAUCCAUAUCUAACAUUAUAUCAUAUGCUUGAUUGUGAGACUAUAACUAGUUGUCCUUAAAAUAUAAAAAAUAGAGUAAUUUUUUAAUCACAAUUUAGCAGUUAUUUUUUUGAUAAAAUGGACACAGUAUUUUUAUACUUCCGGUUAAUCCAAUUAAUAUUUAUUUCCAUAUAUGUAAAACCGGGCGUAUCCUUGCGCAAUCCAUACACUGUAAUAAAAAAUAAAAUAAAAAAAUAGUACCGCGGAGUGACGGCUAGCUUGACCGCAGCACCGUCGUUAAUUGGAUCGGUGAAAAGCAUGGUGAAAAGGUUAGCUAGCUAGCUAACAUGUUAGCAAACAAACGUUGGUUUUGAAGUUGAAGAAAUACAAGUUUCCCAAAGUGGAGGACUGAAGAUUGGAUCCAUUUUCGCGUCCAGCUACCGUCCUCGUCGGACCCCAGAGGGCGCUGUUAUUAUUUAGUGUUGACGCAGUAUUUUUAUUUUAUUCGUUUUUUUGGACAACGAAGAUGCCUGCAAACCAUUUAAUGCAAACUCAAGAUAGAUUUGUCCAGGCAGCUUCACACCUCCACCAAUCUCAUGCAGAGGAGCAUGAGAUUGCUGUGUCCGACUUGCUCGUGGGCCUUUUCAGUGAUGCCAGCUGCAAUCACCAUGCUGCAGUCCUGCAUAUUUCUGGGUAAAAUCCCUUGUGCUCUUCUCUACCUGUUGAGCUUCACCCUCACCUCUUCCUCUGUUGGGAGCAUGGCGCUCACAUCAGUCGACAGCUACGUAUGUGGCUAUUUGUAAUCCUCUUCGCUAUUAUUCCACAGUAACACCAAGCAGAGUUCAAAGCUGUAUGCCUUAGACUUAGACUUAGAGUUAGAAAACUUGUCCCUUGAAAAAUGUCCCCGAGAGGCAAUUUGUUGUACAGUACAGGCACAUUGACACAUAAUCCACAACACAAACAUUGAACCAGAUAUCCACAGCGCUACCUAUCCAACACAUCAAUAAAUAGAAUACAGUAAAAGGAGUAUAUUGCACAAUAUCAUAAAUAAAUAAAAUAAAAACUACUGCACAUUAUCCUACAUCACAUCUAUUCCUUCAGUUAUACCCCUCCCUACACCUUAUUUAAUUGGGUUAUUGCCAUAAGAAUGAAUGAGUUUUUUGCUCGGUUGGUUUUGACAUUGGGAUAUCUAUAUCUACGACCUGAAGGGAGCGGCUUGAACUCCGCUGAAAGUGGAUGGGUUGUAUCCAUGUCUCUGUGUUGGUUCUGUUCAGGGCUGGACUGGACUGGGACAAAAAAUCGGCCCUGGCAUUUUUGGCCCAGGCGGCCCACACCCACCGUGAUUGGUCAAACCCAUUCCCUGCAGAUAGUCCUCUUAAAAUAUGCGUGCAUUCUAUGAUAUGAGUUGCCUAGUUUUAGAUCCUUCAAGAAUUAUCUGUUGAGCUUACACAUAAAUAAUUAAUUCAUUCUUAGAGUUAUGAUUUGGU